AGCAGUAGCCGCGGGAAUACGUAGGUGGCAAGCGUUGUCCAGAAUUAUUGGGCGUAAAGCGCGCGCAGGUGGUUUAAUAAGUCUGAUGUGAAAGCCCACGGCUCAACCGUGGAGGGUCAUUGGAAACUGUUAAACUUGAGUGCAGGAGAGAAAAGUGGAAUUCCUAGUGUAGCGGUGAAAUGCGUAGAGAUUAGGAGGAACACCAGUGGCGAAGGCGGCUUUUUGGCCUGUAACUGACACUGAGGCGCGAAAGCGUGGGGAGCAAACAGGAUUAGAUACCCCGGUAGUCCCUGUCUCUUAUAC
This 303-nucleotide ribosomal RNA is filed under the name uncultured bacterium. RNAcentral's name for it is "partial 16S ribosomal RNA". It matches the Rfam family "Bacterial small subunit ribosomal RNA", at positions 507 to 807 of the family's 1533-position model. The record is from RNAcentral.